RNAcentral lists this microRNA (21 nucleotides) under Triticum aestivum (bread wheat). RNAcentral's name for it is "tae-miR9669-5p". Lineage: Eukaryota; Viridiplantae; Streptophyta; Magnoliopsida; Poales; Poaceae. The record is from miRBase by way of RNAcentral.
UACUGUGGGCACUUAUUUGAC